RNAcentral lists this signal recognition particle RNA (148 nucleotides) under Nomascus leucogenys (northern white-cheeked gibbon). RNAcentral describes it as "Metazoan signal recognition particle RNA". It matches the Rfam family "Metazoan signal recognition particle RNA". From Rfam's summary of the family: The signal recognition particle (SRP) is a universally conserved ribonucleoprotein. It is involved in the co-translational targeting of proteins to membranes. Lineage: Eukaryota; Metazoa; Chordata; Mammalia; Primates; Hylobatidae. The record is from Rfam by way of RNAcentral.
GCCAGGCAUGGUGGUGCAUGCCUGUAGUCCCAGCUACUCAGGAGGCUGAGGUGGGAGGAUCACUUGAGCCCAGGAGGUCGAGGCUGCAGUGAGCCAUGAUUGUGCCACUGCACUCCAGCCUGGGCAACAGAGCAAGACCCUGUCUCAA